GUGGUGAUAAUAAUAAAACAUUAGAUGUAACAUUAAAUCUCAUAUUUAGUACCACAACAUUUUAUAAAAGAAACACAAAAUCCAAAUACACAUCACUACCAAAAUAAGCAAAGCAUGCUAGUUGGUUGGAAUACAACAAUUCAAGUAGUCCAUUAAUUCUAAUAUUACACAAUGCCUUAAAUCCCAUAAAGAAAGAAGUACUCUUCAUGAACCAACACACAACAAUAUUUGAAACUACACACUCUUCAAAUCCAUUUAACAUAUAAACACAUAUUUAUAAGAUAAUUAAUCUUUCAAUCUUUUGCCUUUGUAUAUAUUCUCAAUUCUUGAAGAUUGAUGCAUUUGGUAGGGUUGAUGAAAUCAUAUUAUUAAAUGCUUGGCAUGUUAUUCCAAAGGCAAGAACCAAAGUGCCAAUCUUGAUUUGGUGACUCAAGUGAGUCUGCAACCGGGUUGUACUCUGAAGCAAUGGGUUGACUAUGCAUCGUGUUGCUUGUACCAUCGUUCAAACUUGGCGAUUCGCUUCCAUCUUCUCCAUCCCAAUCCGGGAUUGGGACAGACAACGGGAAAUUGUCUAGAAGGUUCAUCAGUUCGUCGUCCAUCUGAGUCGUGUCUUUGGGAGCCUUUGCUUCCACGCCUGUGCCAAAUGAUACGUUAUCAAUAUCACUAGUAACAAUUAAUGUAUGAAAAAUA
This 690-nucleotide long non-coding RNA is filed under the name Salvia miltiorrhiza (redroot sage). RNAcentral's name for it is "long non-coding RNA (SMIL_LNC008846)". The record is from RNAcentral. Lineage: Eukaryota; Viridiplantae; Streptophyta; Magnoliopsida; Lamiales; Lamiaceae.